AGAGUUUGAUCAUGGCUCAGGACGAACGCUGGCGGCGUGCCUAACACAUGCAAGUCGAGCGAGGAAGAGGAGAUAGCUUGCUAACUCCUGUUUCUAGCGGCGGACGGGUGAGUAACGCGUGAGCAACCUGCCUUUAUCAGGGGGAUAACGCAUCGAAAGAUGUGCUAAUACCGCGUAAGACCACAGCCUCACAUGGGGCAGGGGUCAAAGGAGCAAUCCGGAUAAAGAUGGGCUCGCGUCCGAUUAGCUAGUUGGUGAGAUAACAGCCCACCAAGGCGACGAUCGGUAGCCGACCUGAGAGGGUGAUCGGCCACAUUGGAACUGAGAGACGGUCCAGACUCCGUACGGGAGCA
RNAcentral lists this ribosomal RNA (353 nucleotides) under uncultured bacterium. RNAcentral describes it as "bacterial SSU rRNA". It matches the Rfam family "Bacterial small subunit ribosomal RNA", at positions 8 to 349 of the family's 1533-position model. The record is from RNAcentral.